This 529-nucleotide ribosomal RNA is filed under the name uncultured bacterium. Its description in RNAcentral is "bacterial SSU rRNA". It matches the Rfam family "Bacterial small subunit ribosomal RNA", at positions 777 to 1304 of the family's 1533-position model. The record is from RNAcentral.
AAUAGAUACCCGGGUAGUCCACGCCGUAAACAAUGAGUGCUAAGUGUUAGAGGGUUUCCGCCCUUUAGUGCUGCAGCUAACGCAUUAAGCACUCCGCCUGGGGAGUACGGUCGCAAGACUGAAACUCAAAGGAAUUGACGGGGGCCCGCACAAGCGGUGGAGCAUGUGGUUUAAUUCGAAGCAACGCGAAGAACCUUACCAGGUCUUGACAUCCCACUGACCGGUAUAGAGAUAUACCUUUCCCUUCGGGGACAGUGGUGACAGGUGGUGCAUGGUUGUCGUCAGCUCGUGUCGUGAGAUGUUGGGUUAAGUCCCGCAACGAGCGCAACCCUUGAUCUUAGUUGCCAGCAUUUAGUUGGGCACUCUAAGGUGACUGCCGGUGACAAACCGGAGGAAGGUGGGGAUGACGUCAAAUCAUCAUGCCCCUUAUGACCUGGGCUACACACGUGCUACAAUGGAUGGUACAAAGGGCUGCAAGACUGCGAAGUCAAGCCAAUCCCAUAAAACCAUUCUCAGUUCGGAUUGCAGG